UGGGGAAUUGUUCGCAAUGGGCGCAAGCCUGACGACGCAACGCCGCGUGGAGGAUGAAGGUCUUCGGAUUGUAAACUCCUGUCGAUCGGGACGAAAAGCUUCAACCUAAUACGUUGAAGACUGACGGUACCGGUUGAGGAAGCCACGGCUAACUCUGUGCCAGCAGCCGCGGUAAUACAGAGGUGGCAAGCGUUGUUCGGAAUUACUGGGCGUAAAGGGCGCGUAGGCGGCCUCCUAAGUCGGACGUGAAAGCCCCAGGCUUAACCUGGGAACUGCGUCCGAUACUGGGAGGCUUGGAUUCGGGAGAGGGAUGUGGAAUUCCAGGUGUAGCGGUGAAAUGCGUAGAUAUCUGGAGGAACACCGGUGGCGAAGGCGGCAUCCUGGACCGAGAUCGACGCUGAGGCGCGAAAGCUAGGGGAGCAAACGGGAUUAGAUACCCCCGUAGUCCCUGAGCGGGCUGGCAAGGCGCAU
RNAcentral lists this ribosomal RNA (471 nucleotides) under uncultured bacterium. Its description in RNAcentral is "bacterial SSU rRNA". It matches the Rfam family "Bacterial small subunit ribosomal RNA", at positions 355 to 825 of the family's 1533-position model. The record is from RNAcentral.